CAGCAGCCGCGGGAAUACGUAGGUGGCGAGCGUUGUCCGGAAUCAUUGGGCGUAAAGGGAGCGCAGGCGGGCGUGUAAGUCUUUCUUAAAAGUGCGGGGCUCAACCCCGUGAUGGGUAAGAAACUACAUGUCUUGAGUACAGGAGAGGAAAGCGGAAUUCCCAGUGUAGCGGUGAAAUGCGUAGAUAUUGGGAGGAACACCAGUGGCGAAGGCGGCUUUCUGGACUGCAACUGACGCUGAGGCUCGAAAGCCAGGGGAGCGAACGGGAUUAGAUACCCCUGUAGUCCCUGUCUCUUAUACA
This 301-nucleotide ribosomal RNA is filed under the name uncultured bacterium. Its description in RNAcentral is "partial 16S ribosomal RNA". It matches the Rfam family "Bacterial small subunit ribosomal RNA", at positions 509 to 809 of the family's 1533-position model. The record is from RNAcentral.